GUAGGACUAACGAAGGCUCAGAGAGUCUGGUUUGCCCACGGCCCCAAGGAGGCAGGAAAGCACUGUGGGUAAGCCAGCCGGCUUUGGCAUCGGACUGCCAACUUUCAAAUCCUAGCUUGGCUGUUUAGUAACCACCUGCCAACGUGGGCAUGUUAUUUUCCCCAAGCCUGGGUUUCCUUUCCUGCAAAAUGAAGAAAGAGACACAAUAAAAGUCAAGUGGUGCAUCUUAUAAUAAAGAGCACUUUGGAAUCAAGACAAUGAAAUAUGAAGAUAUCCAGUAGACUUCAAGCAUCAUGAAUACAAGGAUACCUCUGCAUCCCAGUACAGAUCGUUUCUCCCACCGACCACAGUAAACUCCAAGCCAUCAAGUCCACGAAGGCUGGCGCCUUGUGU
Molecule: long non-coding RNA, 393 nt
Organism: Myotis brandtii (Brandt's bat)
Lineage: Eukaryota; Metazoa; Chordata; Mammalia; Chiroptera; Vespertilionidae
Exons: 3
Source: RefSeq, a predicted model, not a curated record